This 450-nucleotide ribosomal RNA is filed under the name uncultured bacterium. RNAcentral's name for it is "partial 16S ribosomal RNA". It matches the Rfam family "Bacterial small subunit ribosomal RNA", at positions 354 to 796 of the family's 1533-position model. The record is from RNAcentral.
GUGGGGAAUCUUCCACAAUGGACGAAAGUCUGAUGGAGCAACGCCGCGUGAGUGAAGAAGGGUUUCGGCUCGUAAAGCUCUGUUGACGGGGACGAAUGUGCAGUAGUUGAAUAAAGUACUGUAAUGACGGUACCUGACGAGGAAGCCACGGCUAACUACGUGCCAGCAGCCGCGGUAAUACGUAGGUGGCAAGCGUUGUCCGGAAUUAUUGGGCGUAAAGGGAGCGCAGGCGGGAAGGUAAGUCGGUCUUAAAAGUGCGGGGCUCAACCCCGUGAUGGGAUCGAAACUAUCUUUCUUGAGUGCAGGAGAGGAAAGUGGAAUUCCUAGUGUAGCGGUGAAAUGCGUAGAUAUUAGGAGGAACACCAGUGGCGAAGGCGACUUUCUGGACUGUAACUGACGCUGAGGCUCGAAAGCCAGGGGAGCGAACGGGAUUAGAAACCCCAGUAGUCC